RNAcentral lists this ribosomal RNA (429 nucleotides) under uncultured bacterium. RNAcentral describes it as "partial 16S ribosomal RNA". It matches the Rfam family "Bacterial small subunit ribosomal RNA", at positions 966 to 1385 of the family's 1533-position model. The record is from RNAcentral.
CGCCCGUUGUACAUCCCCUCUCGACGGCCCGGUAAUACGGACUUUUCCUUCGGGACAGAAGAGACAGGUGGGGCAUGGUUGUCGUCAGCUCGUGUCGCGAGAUGUUGGGUUAAUUCCCGCACCGGGGGCACCCCUUGCUUUUAGUACCCGAUGAUUUGACGUGGGCCCCCUCUUCCUCCUGCUUGGGAUAAGCCGGAGGAAGGGGGGGCCCACCUCAAAUCGUUGGGCCCUUUAUGGAUGGGGUGCCCCCCUUGCUACAAUGGCCCCAACAUAUCGAAACAAGCCCUGAAGAGAAACAUGACCCCAAAGACUCCGUCCCCCCUAAGAUUGUACCCUGCUACCCGACUACAUGAAGCUGGAAUCGCUUUGAAUCGGUUCUUCGAAUUCCCCCGGGAAUCCCUCCCCGGGUCUUGUAACCCCCCGGAGCGA